Molecule: ribosomal RNA, 406 nt
Filed under: uncultured bacterium
Lineage: Bacteria
Description: partial 16S ribosomal RNA
Rfam family: Bacterial small subunit ribosomal RNA
Source: RNAcentral
AUUGAACGCUGGCGGCAGGCCUAACACAUGCAAGUCGAGCGAGCGGCGGACGGGUGAGUAAUGUAUGGGGAUGUGCCCGAGAGGGGGGGAUAACUCCGGGAAGCGGUGGCUAAUACCGCAUACUAGCGGAUGACCCCAUAUGGGAUUAGCUAGUGGGUGGGGUAAAGGCUCACCUAGGCGACGAUCUCUAGCUGGUGUGAGAGGAUGAUCAGCCACACUGGGACUGAGACACGGCCCAGACUCCUACGGGAGGCAGCUGUGGGGAAUAUUGGACAAUGGGCGCAAGCCUGAGGCAGCCAUGCCGCGUGUAUGAAGAAGGCCUUAGGGUUGUAAAGUACUUUCGGCGGAGAGGCGUUACCCGCAGAAGAAGCACCGGCUAACUCCGUGCCAGCAGCCGCGGUAAUAC